GUAACACUUGUAUGAUUCUCUCCUUUGAAACUUCAAACUCCAGUUUGUGAGCAAAGUCCUGUCUAUCUUCUGAAUAGGAAUCUCCGACCACUGACCAAACUCCAUUUGUAACCACUGCCUAUUUGUACCUUCUCCUCAAUGACUAGUUUUCACUUCGCCCAAGUCCGAUCUCAAAGGCAAGCGGCCGGGGAAGAAGCAAAACGGUACAAAUGAACAAGGCAGCAGUUGGAGGGAGAAAAAGACGACCGCUGUGGCCUGGAAGGGGACGAGGAAUAUACUCUGUCUUAUUUUGGGGAUUGUUUCUGAGAGAUCUGCAACACGGUGGAAAUGUGAGGCGCAUUGAGGAGCGUGUUGACGAUGAUAAGAGUGAAACAGGGAGACAAUAUGCUGCCUGCAGCAGAUUUGAGGCCGGCAGAAAGAGGGAGAUGGAGGAGAUAGAAACAAAUCCGCUUGCCUUCAGCAGCUUUUCCGUCUCCACAGAGCUUUCUGUUCUCUGUUCACCAAGCUGUCUCCUCCCUUACCUGGGUCGUUGAAACGCAGCGUCCCAUCCUGACAGUACAUCCCUGUGAAGGCCGAGCUCUGACAGCGAGCCGGCGCGCCGAUCGACGGCCCAUGAGCCUCGGCGGCUCUCUCGGGCCCAGCCAGGCUGAGGCAGUGCCGCCGCCGCUGCUGGGGCCCUGCGGCUGACUGUGAGGCCACACGGGGAUUAUCCCCUAAUGCCUGUCACAAUGAGAUUUGAUUGGAGUCCUGAACACCCAGAUUAAUAGUUUAACGAUGUAAAAAUACCUCAGAAUGAGCAGCGAGGAGCUAAUAUUUAGUGAAGGUUUGAUAAAUGUUUUUGUUUUCAGAUGUUGCCUCUUUGCAUCAUUAUUAAUUGUUUUGAGAGAACAAGUUAUGCCUUGUUCUUAAAGAUUAGAUCAGAUCUUCAUAGUGAAGAGAUGUUAGCAUUACAGGCUAACAUCAAGGGUAUCCUGGAUUUGACUUCUCUCCACAUGAAGAUUUCAAUUCUCUCAGGGUACUCCAGCUUCAUUAUGCAAACUAAGUACAUAGAAAGAUCAAUGCACUUUGUUAAAAUGUAAAAAAACACAAAUUUUUGAUGCUUUUUGGUAUUAGCAUCACUCACAUUACAUGUAGAUUGGCACAAGAAUGAAAAACAAUGUUUUUAAAAUUUUGUCACACUCUGAACUCAGUUUUGUAUAUCGUCUCCUUUUCUGAGUUUGAUUUGCAGCCUCACUCCUGCUGAUAAGUAUUAUACCGUCAGAAAGUCACAGAGUGUUUAUGCUCUGCAAAAACAUCACAUCUUACCAAAUGGUUUUGGUCUAAUUUCUAGUAGAAACAUUUUAGUUCACUUGAAAUAAGUGAACAAGUAACAUUUUCAGCAAGAUAAAAAAUCUUGUUUUAGUCAAAAAUCUUGAAUAUCAAUUAAAUACAAAAAGACAAGUCCCACUGGCAGAUUAUUACACUCAUAACAAGAUGUUUUUCCCCAUAUUAAAGGUGAAACUUGUAUUUUUCUUAAUCUGUUAAAGAAUUAUUUUACUUUAAACAAGCUCUUAUAUGUUGCUGAAAUGUAUUUGUAUGCUAGCUCUUAACCUUUAACCAAACUCAGCACAUUUUACAAUGUUGAAUAGUUUUAUUUCUGGUUAGUAUGUUUGAUUAUUAUAAAGUGAGAAAAAUUUUGAAAUGUCUAGUCUUUUUUUGCUAAUGUGCACCAAAACAAAGUUUCUCCUUCUGGGACAAUAAAAAACUGAAAAGAAUAAUCACUAGAAAUACAGUGGAGUCAGAAAACAACAUAAAAACUAAAUUAGAUGUUGUGAUUUAUGCAUUUCUGUGACUAUUCUCUGUAUACUGUAGUUAGAAAAUGUCUGACUUAUUAUUCACUUAUGGAAAAAAGCUUAGUUGUACAGUUCUAGUUCUCUUUUUUUGUACACUUUAUAUUUUGCUGGUCAGUAAUUCUUUCAUCUAACUUCUACAUAGAUGGUGCUAAUUAAAAAAAGCCUUAAUGUUGAAAGUAGAUUUUCUGCUCAGUUUUGCUUCAGUAAAUCAGCAGAUAUACACGUAUGCUUUUUUCCCCCAAGGGAUUUAUAAGAAUACUGAAUUUUAGUUGACAUUAUUUAGGCUUCUUUUUCUGUUAUACUAUAAACAAACCAUCCUGUAUUAUUUUUAGCCUCAGUACUUUCUGAUGAAUACUCAGAGGCCGCGUUUCAGUUUUGUAGGCAAACAGAAAUGAGCCUAUCUACCGGCUGUUGUCCUGUUUACACUCCUUACUGGGAGCUUGUCCUUUACUGAGACCGUUGAGCCAUUAACGCCAUGUGUUUGACACCAACAGUGUUUCUUCUAUAAGCUCCCACUUACUAUGUAACGAAAGAGGCUAUGGAGGAAUGAAAUGGCAACAAAUCUUUUGAUAAAAUGGCUAAAAAAUUGUAAAAAAUUACCUGUAUUGUCUGAUAUUAAUAUCAGAUCAGAGGAGUAAAUUAAAAACCCAAGAUUGCAGUUUUCAGAUGAUCAUGUCAAUUAUUAAGGAGAAAAAAACUAGCCUAGCUUAGCUCUUUGUUAAAAUUUAUAUAUUAAAUUGUGUUAAAUCAUGAAUUAAUUUUGAUUAUGCACAUUUCUGGAAAGCUGAGUUGAAUUUAUUCAACCACAUUCAGAAUAACUGACCUAUAGAAUAAACAUUAAGUAUUAUUUUACUGUUGUAAACAAAAAACAAAACAUAGCAAAUAAUGAUUUUACACAAAAUUAUUCUAAAGCAAUCCUAAACUGUUUUUAACAGAUGAUAAACACAGAAAAGCAACAAAGACGUGAUAAAUGAUUCAAUGUUCAGCCUUUAACAGCAGCGUUAAAGUCUGCUAAUCUAACAAACGGUGUAACUUAAUGUAAAGACGUUUUGCAGAAAUUGAUUAUUUUUUGUUUUACAGUUUUUCUCAUGCUUUACUGCAUUUCAUCACAAUUCACAUUCACACAACAGCUGGCGCAUUUCUCAAAAACAAUUAGUACAAACUGCUAAACCAGCAAAAGUGAGUCACUUUCUCAGAAUAGAUUCAAAAGCAGAUAUUUCUAGUGUCAGUAUAAUCAAAAUAAAAAGUCCUGAUUCCAUAUUUAUGAACAAAUGUUUUUGUCAUGUUUUCAUUAUGAUCUUUCAUUUCUGAGUGCUUUCUAUUUAAAAAAAAGUGAGAUAUUGGUGACAAUACUUAAAAAUGCUCUAGACAACACAAUAAACAAUUUGCUCAGUCAUUUGAAAUGUACUGUUAAAACAAAAACAAAACACUAAAAAUAUAUUUUUACUGCAAAUGCUCUUUGCAGUUACUGUGUUUACAUCAUCGUGCAACAAACAUAAGAAAAUAAAACUGUAUAAGUAAAAGCUAAAGGUCACCUGAGAGAGAAAAUGUUCAAUUUGGGAGAUGAAUAAAUGCAUAAACCUGGUAAAUAUCGACAACUAGUUCAACAUUUUUGUUUUGGAACAACUCAAGCAAUGAAAUGAGGACAACUAGUUUACAUGGCUGUUCAGCAUUUAUACGCAUGGUGUGUUAUAAAACAGCUGAGAAUUAUUAUGAGAAUUUUAAUUCGGAUCACAAAAUCAGCAAAUCAAACUCAGUAUGGUUAAAAAGUAAAAAAAAAAAAACUAAAUGAAUGUGUUGGAAUGGCCCUGUCAAAGUCCAGACUCAGGUCUGAUUGAAAUGCUGAGUCAUGACUUUAAACAUGUUGUUGAAACCUAAAAUACCUGAACAGUUGUUAGGAUUUGGGGCCGACUGCUUUCCCACACUGGGUCAGUUGGGUUUGGAUUCCUUUUUUCCCCUUAUGCAGGAAAUAAUCCUGCAAUAACUGCUUUUAAUAUUCACCCAGAUUAACUUGGCAAAAUACAAAAAUAAGUUUGAUGAUAUGAAAUGAAUGAAUGCGACAAAAAAAAAAGCAAAAUCACAAGAAAUCUGCAAUCUUGAGUACUUUUUAACAAGAAAAGGUAAAUUCAGUCCUGUUUUAAAGUGUUUUCUUUCUUUAUAAAGUUAAAUAAAAUCUGUGUUUCGACUUGUUGGGUGAAAGAAAUUCCAGUGAGUCUGAGCCAAAAGGAGCUUAAACCCCACAGCUGCCAAAGAAUGCAUUUGUAAUUUAAACGUCCUGGUUUUGGAGGAUUUGACCAGCAUUCAGUAAACUGUAAACAAAUCCUUCCAGAAAGUGUUGCUGCUGCACUCUAAAACAUUUCAUUUUAGUUAAUAUGACAAAACUCAUUUCUAAACAACAAAUUUUUUCACCGUUCAGAUCAGCGUCUCUUCCUUUUUUAUACAUUUAUCAAAUAAAUUCAGCUGUUUUAACCAUUUCUUACUCAGUGAGACCAAGUGUAAUAAAUAAGAUCUGUUUCUGUGAGAGAGAAUUAAAACUGGAUUUAGCAUUUUGGCUGUUUGAAAAAUCAAUAUUUGUUUGUUUACUGGCCAAAAUAAACUGGAGUUUCUGGG
Molecule: long non-coding RNA, 4442 nt
Organism: Xiphophorus couchianus (Monterrey platyfish)
Lineage: Eukaryota; Metazoa; Chordata; Actinopteri; Cyprinodontiformes; Poeciliidae
Exons: 2
Source: RefSeq, a predicted model, not a curated record